Molecule: transfer RNA, 72 nt
Filed under: Perkinsus olseni
Lineage: Eukaryota; Perkinsozoa; Perkinsida; Perkinsidae
Description: tRNA-Asn
Source: RNAcentral
GUCGCUAUCGUCUAGUGGUUAGGACGUCACGUUGUUGCCGUGGCAACCCCUACUCAAACCCGGGUAGUGACU